UGAGGCUAAUGGAGUUAGAU
RNAcentral lists this small nuclear RNA (20 nucleotides) under Arabidopsis thaliana (thale cress). RNAcentral describes it as "snRNA_16433". The record is from RNAcentral. Lineage: Eukaryota; Viridiplantae; Streptophyta; Magnoliopsida; Brassicales; Brassicaceae.